AUGGCUUCUCCGGCGGCCGGCGGCGGGGGUCGUCUAGCUGACCCAUUGCUGGCCACCGACGUCGUCGUCGGCCCCAAGGAUAAGUACUGGGUACCCGCCGACGAGAGAGAGAUCUUGGCGUCGCACAGGAGCGGCGCCGGCGGCGAUGACGGCCGGGCACCGCUGCUGUACCGCACGUUCAGGGUCAAGGGCCCCCUCAUCAACCUUUACAGGUUAUUGACUCUGGUCAGAGUGAUAGUGGUUAUUCUAUUCUUCACAUGGCGCAUGAGGCACCGGGACUCGGACGCGAUGUGGCUGUGGUGGAUCUCGGUGGUAGGCGACCUCUGGUUCGGAGUGACAUGGCUGCUCAACCAGAUCACCAAGCUCAGGCCCAGGAAAUGCGUCCCGAGCAUCUCCGUCCUGAGAGAGCAGCUCGACCAGCCCGACGGCGGCUCCGACCUCCCCCUCCUGGACGUGUUCAUCAACACCGUCGACCCGGUGGACGAGCCGAUGCUCUACACCAUGAACUCCAUCCUCUCCAUCCUGGCCACCGACUACCCGGUCGACAAGUACGCCACCUACUUCUCCGACGACGGCGGGUCGCUGGUGCACUACGAGGGGCUGCAGCUGGCGGCGGAGUUCGCCGCGUCGUGGGUGCCGUUCUGCCGGAAGCACUGCGUCGAGCCCCGGGCCCCGGAGAGCUAUUUCUGGGCCAAGAUGCGCGGGGAGUACGCGGGCACCGCGCCCAAGGAGUUCCUUGACGACCAUCGGCGGAUGCGGGCGGCGUACGAGGAGUUCAAGGUGAGGCUGGACGGGCUUUCUGCCGCCAUCGAGCAGCGGUCGGAGGCGUGCAACCGUGCGAACGGGAAAGAGGAGGGUGCAGAUGCUACUUGGAUGGCUGAUGGGUCCACGCAAUGGCAGGGGACGUGGAUCAAGCCGGCAAAGGGCCACCGGAAAGGACACCACCCUGCAAUUCUACAAGUUAUGCUGGAUCAACCGAGCAAGGAUCCUGAGCUGGGCAUGGCGGCGAGCUCCGGCCACCCUCUGGACUUGAGCGCCGUGGACGCGCGCCUCCCGAUGCUGGUCUACAUCGCGCGGGAGAAGCGGCCGGGGUACGACCACCAGAAGAAGGCGGGCGCCAUGAACGUGCAGCUGCGCGUCUCCGCGCUGCUCUCCAACGCGCCCUUCAUCAUCAACUUCGACGGCGACCACUACGUCAACAACUCGCAGGCCUUCCGCGCCGCCAUGUGCUUCAUGCUCGACCCGCGCGACGGCGCCGACACCGCCUUCGUCCAGUUCCCGCAGCGCUUCGACGACGUCGACCCCACCGACCGCUACUGCAACCACAACCGCAUGUUCUUCGACGCCACCCUCCUCGGCCUCAACGGCAUCCAGGGCCCCUCCUUCGUCGGCACCGGCUGCAUGUUCCGCCGCGUCGCGCUCUACUCCGCCGACCCUCCUCGCUGGCGCCCCGACGACGCCAAGGAGGCCAAGGCCUCGCGCUACAGGCCCAACAUGUUCGGCAAAUCCACGUCCUUCAUCAACUCGGUGCCGGCGGCCGCCAACCAAGAGCGGUCCGUCCCUUCACCGGCGACCGUCGGCGAGGCGGAGCUCGCCGACGCCAUGACGUGCGCCUACGAGGACGGCACCGAGUGGGGCAACGACGUCGGGUGGGUGUACAACAUCGCGACGGAGGACGUGGUGACCGGCUUCCGGCUGCACCGCACGGGGUGGCGCUCCACGUACUGCGCCAUGGAGCCCGACGCGUUCCGCGGCACGGCGCCCAUCAACCUCACGGAGCGGCUCUACCAGAUCCUGCGCUGGUCGGGGGGAUCCCUCGAGAUGUUCUUCUCCCGCUUCUGCCCGCUCCUCGCCGGCCGCCGCCUCCACCCCAUGCAGCGCAUCGCCUACAUCAACAUGACCACCUACCCCGUCUCCACCUUCUUCAUCUGCAUGUAUUACUUCUACCCGGUGAUGUGGCUCUUCCAGGGGGAGUUCUACAUCCAGAGGCCGUUCCAGACGUUCGCGCUCUUCGUCGUCAUCGUCAUCGCCACGGUGGAGCUCAUCGGCAUGGUGGAGAUCAGGUGGGCCGGCCUCACGCCGCUCGACUGGUUCCGCAACGAGCAGUUCUACAUCAUCGGCACCACCGGCGUGUACCCUAUGGCGAUGCUGCACAUCAUCCUCAGGUCCCUCGGCAUCAAGGGGGUGUCCUUCAAGCUGACGGCCAAGAAGCUCACGAGCGGCACGAGGGAGAGGCUCGCGGAGCUCUACGACGUGCAGUGGGUGCCGUUGCUGGUGCCCACGGUGGUGGUGAUGGCCGUGAACGUGGCCGCCAUCGGCGCGGCGGCGGGCAAGGCGAUCGCUGGGCGGUGGUCGGCCGCGCAGGUCGCCGGGGCGGCCAGCGGGCUCGUCUUCAACGUGUGGAUGCUGCUGCUGCUCUACCCGUUCGCGCUCGGGAUAAUGGGGCGCUGGAGCAAGAGGCCAUACAUCCUGUUCAUUGUGCUGGUCACCGCGGUCGCUGCCACCGCGUCCGUGUACGUCGCGCUCGCCGGCUCCCUACCGUACUUGCAUUCGGGAAUAAAGCUAGUUUAA
RNAcentral lists this ribosomal RNA (2571 nucleotides) under Triticum aestivum (bread wheat). Its description in RNAcentral is "partial small subunit ribosomal RNA". The record is from RNAcentral. Lineage: Eukaryota; Viridiplantae; Streptophyta; Magnoliopsida; Poales; Poaceae.